This 440-nucleotide ribosomal RNA is filed under the name uncultured bacterium. RNAcentral's name for it is "partial 16S ribosomal RNA". It matches the Rfam family "Bacterial small subunit ribosomal RNA", at positions 338 to 795 of the family's 1533-position model. The record is from RNAcentral.
CCUACGGGUGGCAGCAGUAGGGAAUAUUGCUCAAUGGGGGAAACCCUGAAGCAGCAACGCCGCGUGGAGGAUGAAGGUUUUAGGAUUGUAAACUCCUUUUGUGAGAGAAGAUAAUGACGGUAUCUCACGAAUAAGCACCGGCUAACUCCGUGCCAGCAGCCGCGGUAAUACGGAGGGUGCAAGCGUUACUCGGAAUCACUGGGCGUAAAGGGUGCGCAGGCGGGCUUGUAAGUCAGAUGUGAAAUCCUGUGGCUUAACUACAGAACUGCAUUUGAAACUAUGAGUCUAGAGUGUGGGAGAGGUAGGUGGAAUUCUUGGUGUAGGGGUAAAAUCCGUAGAUAUCAGGAGGAAUACUCGUUGCGAAGGCGACCUACUGGAACAUUACUGACGCUCAUGCACGAAAGCGUGGGGAGCAAACAGGAUUAGAUACCCGGGUAGUC